GAUGAACGCUGGCGGCGUGCUUAACACAUGCAAGUCGAACGGGGAACAUUUUAAAGAAGCUUCGGCAGAUUUAGUUUGUUCCUAGUGGCGGACGGGUGAGUAACGCGUGGGUAACCUGCCUCACACUGGGGGAUAACAGUCAGAAAUGACUGCUAAUACCGCAUAAGCGCACAGAGCCGCAUGGCUCAGUGUGAAAAACUCCGGUGGUGUGAGAUGGACCCGCGUUGGAUUAGCCAGUUGGCAGGGUAACGGCCUACCAAAGCAACGAUCCAUAGCCGGCCUGAGAGGGUGGACGGCCACAUUGGGACUGAGACACGGCCCAGACUCCUACGGGAGGCAGCAGUGGGGAAUAUUGCACAAUGGGGGAAACCCUGAUGCAGCGACGCCGCGUGAAGGAAGAAGUAUCUCGGUAUGUAAACUUCUAUCAGCAGGGAAGAAAA
Molecule: ribosomal RNA, 440 nt
Filed under: uncultured bacterium
Lineage: Bacteria
Description: bacterial SSU rRNA
Rfam family: Bacterial small subunit ribosomal RNA
Source: RNAcentral